UUAAUGCGAGAGAAGAAAGUUGUGGCAUGUACCUCUCGUCAGUUGAAGCCCAACGAAAAGAACUACCCCACUCACGAUCUUGAGUUGGUGGCAGUUGUCCAUGCAUUGAUAACAUGGAUACAUCUCUUGUUGGGAAGUAAAGUGGACAUUUUCACCGAUCACAAGAGCCUCAACUAUAUCUUCACUCAACCCAACCUCAACCUCAGGCAAACUCGAUGGGUCGAAAUGAUUCAAGAGUACAACCCAAGUAUUGAAUAUACUCUUGGCAACGCAAAUGUGAUUGCAGAUGCUCUGAGCAGAAAG
This 303-nucleotide ribosomal RNA is filed under the name Triticum aestivum (bread wheat). RNAcentral describes it as "partial small subunit ribosomal RNA". Lineage: Eukaryota; Viridiplantae; Streptophyta; Magnoliopsida; Poales; Poaceae. The record is from RNAcentral.